Molecule: ribosomal RNA, 230 nt
Filed under: uncultured bacterium
Lineage: Bacteria
Description: partial 16S ribosomal RNA
Rfam family: Bacterial small subunit ribosomal RNA
Source: RNAcentral
ACGCACUUGGCUGGUUCAGACUCUCGUCCAUUGACCAANAUUCCUCACUGCUGCCUCCCGUAGGACUGUCGUGAGCCUACGGAGGCAGCAUGGGGAAUAUUGGACAAUGGGGGGAACCCUGAUCCAGCGACGCCGCGUGAGUGAAGAAGUAUUUCGGUAUGUAAAGCUCUAUCAGCAGGGAAGAAAGAAAUGACGGUACCUGACUAAGAAGCCCCGGCUAACUACGUGCC